RNAcentral lists this transfer RNA (65 nucleotides) under Vestalis melania. Its description in RNAcentral is "tRNA-Arg". Lineage: Eukaryota; Metazoa; Arthropoda; Insecta; Odonata; Calopterygidae. The record is from RNAcentral.
GAGGGGGAAGUGAAACAUCACAGUCAGUUUCGACCUGAUAAAUGGCACCACAAUGCCCCCCCUUA